GCCAGGACAUGUGGAGCCUUUGGUUGAUGUCUCCAAGACCUUAGGUGCAUUAUAUCAAAUCCUUCUCAACCAGACGGUGGCCAAGAAGAACAGAGAUCCAGAGAUACAAAGUGAGCAUGAACAAGAGAGAGUGAGCUGAAACGAGUUGGAGAACAUACCCAUAAUUACAAAAACGUUCAUGCUUAUAUUCCACAAGAUUACAUCAGGUUUCCUGCAGAUGGACACUACUCCACCCAUAUCAGACCGAUAAACAUAUAACCGAAGAGUGUGCGUUGA
Labeo rohita (rohu) is the source of this 276-nucleotide long non-coding RNA. RefSeq lists it as uncharacterized. The record is from RefSeq and is a predicted model, not a curated record. Lineage: Eukaryota; Metazoa; Chordata; Actinopteri; Cypriniformes; Cyprinidae. The transcript is spliced from 3 exons.